GCCGGGCAUGGUGGCUCAUGCCUGUAGUCCCAACUACUCAGGAGGCUGAGGUGAGAGGAUUGCUUGAGCCCAGGAGUUAGAGGCUGCAGUGAGCCACGAUCAUGCCACUGUGUUCCAGCCUGGGCAACAGAGCAAGACCCUGUCUCAU
Macaca fascicularis (crab-eating macaque) is the source of this 148-nucleotide unclassified non-coding RNA. It matches the Rfam family "Metazoan signal recognition particle RNA". Rfam says of the family: The signal recognition particle (SRP) is a universally conserved ribonucleoprotein. It is involved in the co-translational targeting of proteins to membranes. The eukaryotic SRP consists of a 300-nucleotide 7S RNA and six proteins: SRPs 72, 68, 54, 19, 14, and 9. NCBI's taxonomy places the organism in Eukaryota, Metazoa, Chordata, Mammalia, Primates, Cercopithecidae. The record is from Ensembl.